RNAcentral lists this ribosomal RNA (460 nucleotides) under uncultured bacterium. RNAcentral describes it as "partial 16S ribosomal RNA". It matches the Rfam family "Bacterial small subunit ribosomal RNA", at positions 338 to 795 of the family's 1533-position model. The record is from RNAcentral.
CCUACGGGUGGCAGCAGUGAGGAAUAUUGGUCAAUGGGCGAGAUCCUGAACCAGCCAAGCAGCGUGAAGGAUGACUGCCCUACGGGUUGUAAACUUCUUUUAUCAAGGAAUAAAGUGAGGCACGUGUGCCUUUUUGUAUGUACUUUAUGAAUAAGGAUCGGCUAACUCCGUGCCAGCAGCCGCGGUAAUACGGAGGAUCCGAGCGUUAUCCGGAUUUAUUGGGUUUAAAGGGUGCGUAGAUGGGUUGUUAAGUCAGCUGUGAAAGUUUGCGGCUCAACCGUAAUAUUGCAAUUGAUACUGGCAGUCUUGAGUAGAGUUGAGGUAGGCGGAAUGCGUGGUGUAGCGGUGAAAUGCUUAGAUAUCACGAAGAACUCCGAUUGCGAAGGCAGCGUACUAAACCGCCACUGACAUUGAUGCUCGAAAGUGUGGGGAUCAAACAGGAUUAGAUACCCCUGUAGUC